CACUUUGUUCCAAAUGCAUUCUUGUAAUGCUCCUCAUAAGCACCCUCGAAAUCGUAAAAGCUAUUAAAUAUUCCACCAUACACUACAACAUUUUGGCCCUACGACAACGCCUAAAUUUUGGAAGGUAAAAAAACCGUUUUGGUAGAGUCCCAUGAACAACGAUUUUCUGAUUCUGUUGUAAUAGGGUAUAAUAUUUUUUCAAUUUAUUCGUAACAACUCGAAAGCGUUGUGGUAUAAGAAACGAGAACGGAUUUUUGUUUGUUAUUUUCGUCAACACGUAUUAACCGUUCUAGUAUAAUUUUUAAUUAUUUUUAAUAAAAGUAUGAGUAACUACUUUGUUAAAUACCGUUCUUAAAAACUAUAACAAAAAAUCUUAAUAUAACAAAAAAAAAAUUACUAUUUUAAAAAACUAAUAAUUAGCGCUAUUUUUGAUGAAAGAUAAUUUUCCUCGAAAAAUACCCAACAGCCCUCUAGUCAAAAAAAAAAAAAAACAAUUUCCUCUUAAAAAAAAAAAACUCAAUUAAUCAAGAAAAACCAAAACCAAACGCAUAAGCUAUUCUCAGAAGCUCACUUUCCGUUCAAACGCUCAACCCAUUCGAACCUCAUAAGCCAAACGAAAAUCUCAAAAGAUUCAAUCCGUUGGGACCCUUAAUCUUCUGCGAACUUUCGAAACUCCGAAAUCUUCAACCCACUUGAAAAUCAUAAUUCUUCAACCCAUUCGAAAAUCUCAAAAGCUUCAACCGAUUCGAACCAAUUCGAAUCUCAGAACCCCUUUGAAACUCAUGCAGAAACCAUUCGAAUCCUCAACCCAUUUGAAACCUUUUUGAUUGCUCGCACAUGUUUCUGUAUUCUUCCCGACCUUAUCACGAGUGAGAUAGCUAAGCAGAUGCAUUUUGAGUUCAUCACACCAAUGAAAAGCAUGUUGUUCAAGUACUCUUGUAGUUGCCGAAAAACGUAUUUAUGACAUAGAAGGACAUGACCUCGACUGUGAUGGAGCGCCAUUAGCAACACCAAAAUAACUAUUAAAAGAGCCCUUUGUGAGUUAUUCUGAGCUUGUUUCCUUUUCAAUUUUUUGUUUCUUACGAAGUUUUUUUUUUUUUUUGUCAAAUCCCUAACUUUGUGAUGGUUUAUUUCAGUGUUUUUUCAACUCUUAGUAGGUGAAGAUGUUUUUGAUUUUUGAAAAGAAGAAUCGGUUUCUACAAGCAGCUAAUGCUGAUUUGAAAUGGAAAUUUUGGGUCAGUUCCUUUUCGUUCAUUCUUGAUUUUCAUUGAUUGUAUAACUGUAAUAGGUUGUUUUUGAGGCAAUUGGAAACUGGCUUGAAUUAUAAAAUGAUGAUGAUUUUUGUUAUUUUAAGUUUUCACUUUUAAAUGUUUUGGGAUAGAUUUAUGUAACCAAUGACACUAAGACUUAGCUCCUAUCAACCUUGGAAUGGUCAUAGAUAGAAUUCUAGUUCUAGAUUUUAGAUAAUUGCAUUUCCCUGAUAUACAUAUUUUUAUGCAUUUAUCAGUCAGUAGUCAUUAUGAUGGGAAUCCACUAUAUAAUCGGACCAAGGAACAACAAUAAGAAGAAAUUGACUUCUAGUAGUGGGAAGAAUUCUUGAUAAAUUGCAGAGAAAGAAGUUUCCAAAAUUGCAAAUAAAGGAACGACAACUUGUGUUGGAAGCUGGUUUAGCAGUAAUACUGUCUGCUAGGGAAAUAUGUUAUCUUAUGUCAAUCUUAUUUGUUAACUGUUUUAGCACACUCUUGAUUAGUAGAGUAAAUGGUGGGUGCCAAGCUUAUUUCAAGCUUAUUUGAAUAUUGUCUGCAAAGUUUUUGUUGAUUUCAAUUUCUUUGGUGUUCGUUCAUAUUUUCUAAGACAUUGGUUAUAGAUUUUAUUUCUUUAUUUAAAUAUCUCAUUUACUUCUGUCUUGUUGCAGUCAAAAAUGGAGUAUACAUAAUGCUUGUAAAGGAUGCUGGAGAUGCUUUUGGACGAAGUCGUUUUGUGAAGAUUGACUGCAAGGGAUUAGAUCCUGGUGAUUACAAGAAAUUAGGUUCCAAACAUAAGGUACUACAUAACCAGCUUUCAUUUUUUUCUUGUAGAUUGCUUAUUUUAUGUUCUUCCUCUUUUUUCCUGGCCCAAAUAAGUUUGAUAUUUGUACCAUAUAUAAGUCAAUAGAAUUAAUUCAAAGUAGAUGGAGUCUACACGUUGCUGAAAAGAAUUAAAAAAGAUAUACUUGCUUAUGCUUAGGAGUUGAAAAUAGUAUCCUUCCGUUUCCUUUGUUGUCAUGUGAGAGAGCCACCGUCAUCUCCUUUCUUCCUUGUAGUCGUUUUUCCUCUUCACAUAUCGGGAGAGAUUUUGUAAAAACCCAAAAUCCCCAUUUUUGAAAACUUUAAUAUUCACAUCUGUCUUCUAAUAUGAGAUCUAAUGCCUUUUUUUUUUUUAGAAUGAUUUUGCUUGUGUUAAAGUUCUGAUUUGGGAAUUUUAUGGUUAUUGGUUUGCUAAAAUUUGUGUUAUUCAUGGUGUUUUCUGAUAUUUGAUUCUGGCAUAUUCAUUUUUUAAUUGCUUCUUCAUAGGUAUAUGCUUGUUGGUUGAGGAAAUGCCACAUGAGAGCAUCCAACGGAUAUUUGUUUCUACAAGCUUUGUUUUUAUCUUCAUCAGGAACAUUAACAAAAAGUUGUUGUUAAUACGUCUCUUAAUAUUUUUCCUGCCGAGAAAGAACAUGUAAUUUUGAAGUUUGAAAAGAGUGGAAUACAUAUUCAUGGACUACUCAUAUACACUCAAUGUCUUAUAAGCUUUUGUCAGUAUUUGACAAGCUUUGAUGUUAAACCAACAUGUGGCAUGCAGGUAAAAAUCUUAACUAUGUAAUCAUUGUUUAGUAUUCACCCCUUGUACAAAUUGUGUAUUUUACUUCAAAGGCCUGCAACUAAAAUUAAAUCAAAUUAAGUUUAGUGAAUUUUAUAAUAUAUUAUACACAUAUUUGCUAGUAUUCUUCACGGAUGAAAAUUUUGAUCAGCUUAAAUACAAAGUUAUUGGUGUUAAUUUUUUAUGAUGUCAUAGGAACUUCAUUUCAUUGUUGAUGUGUGCAAUUUACCAAGAAGUAUAUGGAUAUUCAGAGUUGAGUUUGUGUUGUGUCUUGCCAGGUGUGACGUGUCUCUAUCACUACUAGUUUAUGACUAUGUUUGAAACAAUGGAGCAAUCUCUAAUUGAUACUAGUUUGAAAAGUUUAUGGUGCUGUUAUUAUAGAACAAACAUGUGAUAGUUAGAGUGAAUUUAAGUACCUUGUGAACAUGCCAUAUAAUUGAAGCACUAACAUGUUCUUGUUCCAUAACUAAAUUUUGGAGGUCGUGACUUUUCUCAUUUGCUUACUUGGUUUUUAAUAAUAUUUUAUAAUUUGGUUAAUUGGAAACUAUAGAAUUGUAAUAUAUAUAUAUAUUUUUAAACUGUAUGUGAGAUGUUUCUUUUUCAGUGGCAAAUUCUUUUUGAAUUACAGCUAUAAGGUGGAAUGAAUAUGUUAAUUGAGCUACUUCUUUUUAUCAUAUACUAUGUUGCUGUGAUACUGGUUUUAUAUUUUUCUGACUUUGACAUAUAAGAUAUAUUCUUUUGAUUGUGAUGGGCUGAAUUGAAUUGAUAUGUUGUGUGUGAACAAACAUGGGUGUUGGGUGAUUUUGAGUGUUGGAUAGUCACUUGUUUAAAAAUUGUUUACCUGCUUUCAAAUCUAUUCUCAAACUGCAUAAGUUCCUUUCAAACCUCAUAAAAAUAAACAUAUAACUUGUUUCUUUGGUUUUUAGAUGAAAAGGGAAAAGGAGUGACACCUGAACGUCAAGAGAUUUACAUUGAAAAUCUAACUCGGUGUCCUGUAUAUCUCAAUUGGUUUCCUAUAUUGCUGUAUUUGUGUUAUCUCACCGAUAUUGCCUUAAUUAUUUUGUUGCAUUUGUGUUUUCUCACUGAUUUAUUAUUAUUAUUGGCAGGUUAAUCAUCAAUUUUGUAGCCUUCAAUGAGGCUCGGCAAGUUGAUACAUCUAAAGCAAAAAAUAAAUAAGAAGAAUAUUGAUGAUAUGGACGAAGAAUUUCAAGAUUUGGAAGAACAAGAUGAAGAUAUAUAAAUUUGAUGCUUGUUUUUUUGUUUUCCUGAUGGAUAUUGGUGGUCACGUUGAAGAUGUUAUAUUGAAUGUGAUUAAUGAUAAUUGUCAUUAUCUCUAAGGGUAUUCAUUAGAAAUCCAAAAAUAUUAUUACGUAUGUAAUUGUGUAAAUGUUACUUUCAUUGUGAUCAAUGAUGAUCGACAGCUAUUUCAUUUUCUGUAAUAUAUUUAUUUAGUAUCAGAUUACAAUUUUA
This is a long non-coding RNA of Medicago truncatula (barrel medic), 4311 nucleotides long. RefSeq lists it as uncharacterized. Lineage: Eukaryota; Viridiplantae; Streptophyta; Magnoliopsida; Fabales; Fabaceae. The transcript has 4 exons. The record is from RefSeq and is a predicted model, not a curated record.